UUCCUCUCAGGGUCACACCUGGAGAGUUUCCAGUACUCUAUCAGUCUCAACUACAGGAGGGAGAGUCAGGCAGAGGCAUAUACAUAUCCAUUCCAUUCCUAGCUUAGGCAGUGGCUAGCAAGUGGAAGGCAAUCUGCUACAAGU
RNAcentral lists this small nucleolar RNA (144 nucleotides) under Ornithorhynchus anatinus (platypus). Lineage: Eukaryota; Metazoa; Chordata; Mammalia; Monotremata; Ornithorhynchidae. The record is from RNAcentral.